RNAcentral lists this small nuclear RNA (139 nucleotides) under Gopherus agassizii (Agassiz's desert tortoise). RNAcentral describes it as "U2 spliceosomal RNA (ENSGAGG00000010830.1)". It matches the Rfam family "U2 spliceosomal RNA", at positions 33 to 170 of the family's 192-position model. From Rfam's summary of the family: U2 is a small nuclear RNA (snRNA) component of the spliceosome (involved in pre-mRNA splicing). Complementary binding between U2 snRNA (in an area lying towards the 5' end but 3' to hairpin I) and the branchpoint sequence (BPS) of the intron results the bulging out of an unpaired adenosine, on the BPS, which initiates a nucleophilic attack at the intronic 5' splice site, thus starting the first of two transesterification reactions that mediate splicing. Lineage: Eukaryota; Metazoa; Chordata; Testudines; Testudinidae. The record is from RNAcentral.
GUUGUAUCUGUUCUUAUCAGGUUAAAAUAUCUGAUAUGUCCUUUAUUUGAGGACUGUAUAUUAAAUUGAUUUUUGAAACAGGGGGCUGGAAUAGGAGCUUGAUCUCUCCACCCCAUGCAUUGACCUGAUAUUGCAGUGA